RNAcentral lists this transfer RNA (73 nucleotides) under Mustela putorius furo (domestic ferret). It matches the Rfam family "tRNA". Rfam says of the family: Transfer RNA (tRNA) molecules are approximately 80 nucleotides in length. Their secondary structure includes four short double-helical elements and three loops (D, anti-codon, and T loops). Lineage: Eukaryota; Metazoa; Chordata; Mammalia; Carnivora; Mustelidae. The record is from Rfam by way of RNAcentral.
ACCUGGCUGGCUCUGUCGGUAGAGCAUGUGAUUCUUGAUCUUGGGGUCGUGAGUUCAAGCCCCACGUUGGGCA